RNAcentral lists this ribosomal RNA (374 nucleotides) under uncultured bacterium. Its description in RNAcentral is "bacterial SSU rRNA". It matches the Rfam family "Bacterial small subunit ribosomal RNA", at positions 29 to 420 of the family's 1533-position model. The record is from RNAcentral.
AAUGAACGUUGGCGGCGUGGAUUAGGCAUGCGAGUCGUGCGAGAACCGUAGCAAUACGGGGACAGCGGCGAAAGGGAGAGGAACACGUGGAUACCUACCCUCAGGUUCAGGAUAGCUAUGGGAAACUAUAGGUAAUACUGAAUAAUAUCUCCGGAUCAAAGGUGUGAUUCCGCCGGAGGAGGGGUCCGCGUCCUAUUAGCUAGUUGGUGAGGUAAUGGCUCACCAAGGCGAAGAUGGGUACGGGAUGUGAGAACAUGAUCCGCUCAUUGGGACUGAGACACUGCCCAGACACCUACGGGUGGCUGCAGUCGAGAAUCUUCGGCAAUGGGGGAAACCCUGACCGAGCGACGCCGCGUGUGAGAUGAAGGCCUCGG